CUCUCUCUCUCUCUCUCUCUCUCUCUCUCUCUCUCUCUCCCUGGUAAAAGCCUUGUGACUAGUGGGACCCUUUAUCCUUUGCACUCAAUAAUUCUGAGACAGGAAGCUGUCAGCGGUGAGACUGCUAGACAAUUUAUCAGAGCUGCCCGUCUCACACUGCAGGAGUGCUGAACAGCCAGGGAUGUCUCACGUGUUGCAGUUUGAUGAACAAACCAAGAAGGUGAAGGACGCCAACAUGCAGGAUGAAGACACAUUCGAGAUCUACGACCCUCGGAACCCCGUCAACAAGCGCAGACGGGAGGAGAGCAAGAAACUUCUGAAGGAGAAGAAGGCCAAGCGGUGAUCAUCUCGUCCUCCUCUUCACUGUCCUCCUCCUCCUCCUUGCUGAUUAUCACCACCAUGUGAGGAUCCACAAAGGACAUUUGUGAUCAACCUCGCUGUAAAUUUAGUUCACUAAAGAGAACAGAGUUGUGUUCAUGACCUAAAUAAUAAAUGUUUGUUUUGUACUGAAAA
This is a long non-coding RNA of Tachysurus fulvidraco (yellow catfish), 513 nucleotides long. RefSeq lists it as uncharacterized. Lineage: Eukaryota; Metazoa; Chordata; Actinopteri; Siluriformes; Bagridae. The transcript has 2 exons. The record is from RefSeq and is a predicted model, not a curated record.